CAUCUGCGGCCCAUCGACAAGAAGCCUAAACGGAAACCCUAAUCAGUCGAAACGCUCUCCUUCAUGUUCUUCGUUCAUCUUCGAUCGGCGCAUGGACGAUCCAGUUUCUGUAACGGUGUAAUGUGAUUUAAUCGUCUUAAAUCGUCUUCAUUCGUCGUCCCACUACGAUCGUCUGCUAGAUAGUUUAUAAAUAUGCUGCAAUCUCACCGAUGCAUAUCGCGAUAUCUACACUUUUAUAAUCUCACAUCUCACUCAUACUCAAAUCUUACCCCUCACCUCUCUCAAUGGCUAUGACAAAGGUUUUCUUUUCCGAUGUCUGGGCGGUGCUCAUUCGUUGUGGAGGGGAGACUGCUUCGAUUUUGGGAGGUUAAGAACGUUAAGAGUGGUGGGGAUCUAAUGUGGAUGGAUCUGCUUAUGGUUGAUGACUUGAUGUCAACGUUAGUUAUUCAUUAUGGUUUCUUCUAUGUAUGAGUCGUUAUGUGUUAGUUUUUUCAUCGUAUUGUUAUUAUUCUUUGUGAGCUCUAGGCUGUUUAUAAUAGCCUGUCUAACUCUUCCUUAUAUCUCAUCUGAUUGAAUCUUCAUAAUUCUGUGAUCCACGGCUUUAUCCCCGCUGGUCGUAGAUAUCAUGAAUGUUCAGUUCAUCAAUGUGUGGGCUUAUUGCGUUUUUGAGAUAACUGGGUUGCAGCACAUACUCUCGAGGUUUAAGGAAAAAGGGAGCGUUUAAUCACAUCCCUCAAAUCCCAGAAGGAAGAACUGGAGGCAUGACUCAUCAAGGAGAAGAUAUAAACUCUAAAGGAAGAGUUAACAGAAUAACAGAGACUGAUACGAGAAACAUUGAGUUAUACAAGUGUGUGCCGAGUCAACUUGCAGCGGAACAGUCGAGGUGUUUCAACUUAGAGCAAAAGGCAAAGCUCUGGUAGCGUCUGGAGAUGGCUUGCUGGAACUCUUCCGCCAAACACAUGAAUCUCACAUGAGUGAGUGGAAGUGGACAAAGCCACUCAAGAACUGAAGAUAUCAAAAAUGCCUUUGCCAAUGGAGUCUCAUGGGACUGAUCUUCCACGUCUUCUAAUGGUCUUUGCUUAAGGUUCUGUCUCAGUCAAUGGUAUGGCUUGCAGUUGAACUAUGGCAUUCAUGUUUUACUUUUUUUUGUUUUUACAUUCAUGUUUAGUUUCUAGAGUGAGAGGGAGACAAAAUUGUGAAACAGUCAAGAGAGUUGAAAGCUUCACCUGGAUUUACCUGCACUUUCAUGUGUUAUGGUAGAUAACGACAAACAAAGUUUACUUUCUUUGCUUCGGUUACAAAAAAACAAGAGCGUGUUAACAAGUCAAUAAAGAUUGACACUUGGAAGAACUUUUAUUUUCAUAGAGUAGUUAGAAAUCUUCCUACUUUCUUCUCAUUCUCACUACGUCAAAGUCUUGGACUUUGUCUCUGCUAACAUAGUUUUAUCAUUUUAUGUAUAAGUGGAUAACAAGUCAUUUGCAAAAAUAAAUAUUGUUCCUUUUCAGUU
Molecule: long non-coding RNA, 1507 nt
Organism: Raphanus sativus (radish)
Lineage: Eukaryota; Viridiplantae; Streptophyta; Magnoliopsida; Brassicales; Brassicaceae
Exons: 5
Source: RefSeq, a predicted model, not a curated record